Non-coding RNA from Acanthosepion pharaonis, 111 nucleotides. The record is from the annotation of a GenBank genome assembly. Lineage: Eukaryota; Metazoa; Mollusca; Cephalopoda; Sepiida; Sepiidae.
UCGGUCAUACCACGUUGAAACACCGAUUCCCGUACGAUCACCGAAUUUAAGCAACGCGGAGGCUAGUCAGUACCUUCAUGGGUAACCGUUGGGGAAUACCCGGUAGUGUAA